AUGAACGCUGGCGGCGUGCCUAAUACAUGCAAGUCGAGCGAACGGACGAGAAGCUUGCUUCUCUGAUGUUAGCGGCGGACGGGUGAGUAACACGUGGAUAACCUACCUAUAAGACUGGGAUAACUUCGGGAAACCGUAGCUAAUACCGGAUAAUAUUUUGAACCGCAUGGUUCAAAAGUGAAAGACGGUCUUGCUGUCACUUAUAGAUGGAUCCGCGCUGCAUUAGCUAGUUGGUAAGGUAACGGCGUACCAAGGCAACGAUGCAUAGCCGACCUGAGAGGGUGAUCGGCCACACUGGAACUGAGACACGGUCCAGACUCCUACGGGAGGCAGCAGUAGGGAAUCUUACGCAAUGGGCGAAAGCCUGACGGAGCAACGCCGCGUGAGUGAUGAAGGUCUUCGGAUCGUAAAACUCUGUUAUUAGGGAAGAACAUAUGUGUAAGUAACUGUGCACAUCUUGACGGUACCUAAUCAGAAAGCAACGGCUAACUACGUG
RNAcentral lists this ribosomal RNA (496 nucleotides) under uncultured bacterium. RNAcentral describes it as "partial 16S ribosomal RNA". It matches the Rfam family "Bacterial small subunit ribosomal RNA", at positions 29 to 507 of the family's 1533-position model. The record is from RNAcentral.